Molecule: ribosomal RNA, 241 nt
Filed under: Rhizophora mucronata
Lineage: Eukaryota; Viridiplantae; Streptophyta; Magnoliopsida; Malpighiales; Rhizophoraceae
Description: partial small subunit ribosomal RNA
Rfam family: Eukaryotic small subunit ribosomal RNA
Source: RNAcentral
CCGUCCUAGUCUCAACCAUAAACGAUGCCGACCAGGGAUCGGCGGAAGUUGCUUUUAGGACUCCGCCGGCACCUUAUGAGAAAUCAAAGUCUUUGGGUUCCGGGGGGAGUAUGGUCGCAAGGCUGAAACUUAAAGGAAUUGACGGAAGGGCACCACCAGGAGUGGAGCCUGCGGCUUAAUUUGACUCAACACGGGGAAACUUACCAGGUCCAGACAUAGCAAGGAUUGACAGACUGAGAGC